RNAcentral lists this ribosomal RNA (493 nucleotides) under uncultured bacterium. RNAcentral's name for it is "partial 16S ribosomal RNA". It matches the Rfam family "Bacterial small subunit ribosomal RNA", at positions 29 to 507 of the family's 1533-position model. The record is from RNAcentral.
AACGAACGCUUGCGGCGCGUCUUAAACAUGCAAGUCGAACGGCAGGAAGGGGCUUGCCCCUUCUGAGAGUGGCGGACUUGUGAGUAACACGUUGGGUACAUCCCUUUUAUUUGGGGAUAGCUUUUAGAAAUAUUAGGUAAUACCGAAUUUGACCGUACCUUUUAGAGGGGUACGGGGAAAGGGGCUAAGGCUUUGCUAAAAGAAUGGCUCGCGGCCCAUUAUGCUCGUUGGUGAGGUAACGGCCCACCAAGGCGAUGAUGGGUAUCCGGCCUGAGAGGGUGAACGGACACAUUGGGACUGAGAUACGGCCCAGACUUCUACGGGAGGCAGCAGUUAAGAAUAUUCCGCAAUGGACGAAAGUCUGACGGAGCGACGCCGCGUGGAUGAAGAAUGCCGAAAGGUUGUAAAAUCCUUUUAAGCCUGAUGAAUAAGCACAGUAGGGAAUGAUUGUGCGGUGACCGUAGGGCUUGAAUAAGCACCGGCUAAUUACGUG